ACGGGAGGCAGCAGUGGGGAAUAUUGCACAAUGGGGGAAACCCUGAUGCAGCGACGCCGCGUGAGUGAAGAAGUAUUUCGGUAUGUAAAGCUCUAUCAGCAGGGAAGAAAAUGACGGUACCUGACUAAGAAGCACCGGCUAAAUACGUGCCAGCAGCCGCGGUAAUACGUAUGGUGCAAGCGUUAUCCGGAUUUACUGGGUGUAAAGGGAGCGUAGACGGCGAGGCAAGUCUGAAGUGAAAUGCGGGGGCUCAACCCCUGAACUGCUUUGGAAACUGUUUUGCUAGAGUGCAGUAGAGGUAAGUGGAAUUCCUAGUGUAGCGGUGAAAUGCGUAGAUAUUAGGAGGAACACCGGCGGCGAAGGCGGCUUACUGGACUGUAACUGACGUUGAGGCUCGAAAGCGUGGGGAGCAAACAGGAUUAGAUACCCUGGUA
RNAcentral lists this ribosomal RNA (434 nucleotides) under uncultured Lachnospiraceae bacterium. RNAcentral describes it as "partial 16S ribosomal RNA". It matches the Rfam family "Bacterial small subunit ribosomal RNA", at positions 341 to 792 of the family's 1533-position model. Lineage: Bacteria; Bacillati; Bacillota; Clostridia; Lachnospirales; Lachnospiraceae. The record is from RNAcentral.